This 586-nucleotide ribosomal RNA is filed under the name uncultured bacterium. RNAcentral describes it as "partial 16S ribosomal RNA". It matches the Rfam family "Bacterial small subunit ribosomal RNA", at positions 355 to 1375 of the family's 1533-position model. The record is from RNAcentral.
UGGGGAAUUUUGGACAAUGGGCGAAAGCCUGAUCCAGCAAUGCCGCGUGUGUGAAGAAGGCCUUCGGGUUGUAAAGCACUUUUGUCCGGAAAGAAAUCCUUGGCUCUAAUACAGUCGGGGGAUGACGGUACCGGAAGAAUAAGCACCGGCUAACUACGUGCCAGCAGCCGCGGUAAUACGUAGGGUGCAAGCGUUAAUCGGAAUUACUGGGCGUAAAGCGUGCGCAGGCGGUUUGCUAAGACCGAUGUGAAAUCCCCGGGCUCAACCUGGGAACUGCAUUGGUGACUGGCAGGCUAGAGUAUGGCAGAGGGGGGUAGAAUUCCACGUGUAGCAGUGAAAUGCGUAGAGAUGUGGAGGAAUACCGAUGGCGAAGGCAGCCCCCUGGGCCAAUACUGACGCUCAUGCACGAAAGCGUGGGGAGCAAACAGGAUUAGAUACCCUGGUAGUCCAGCGCCCUAAACGAUGUCAACUAGUUGUUGGGGAUUCAUUUCCUUAGUAACGUAGCUAACGCGUGAAGUUGACCGCCUGGGGAGUACGGUCGCAAGAUUAAAACUCAAAGGAAUUGACGGGGUCAUAGCUGUUUCCU